This 71-nucleotide transfer RNA is filed under the name Rattus norvegicus (Norway rat). It matches the Rfam family "tRNA". Rfam says of the family: Transfer RNA (tRNA) molecules are approximately 80 nucleotides in length. Lineage: Eukaryota; Metazoa; Chordata; Mammalia; Rodentia; Muridae. The record is from Rfam by way of RNAcentral.
UGGGAUGUAGCUCAGUUGAUAGAGUGUUUGCCAAGCAUGCAUGAAGCUGUGGGUUCAAUUCCCAUUCCCAU